This 358-nucleotide ribosomal RNA is filed under the name uncultured Roseburia sp. RNAcentral describes it as "bacterial SSU rRNA". It matches the Rfam family "Bacterial small subunit ribosomal RNA", at positions 355 to 729 of the family's 1533-position model. The record is from RNAcentral. Lineage: Bacteria; Bacillati; Bacillota; Clostridia; Lachnospirales; Lachnospiraceae.
UGGGGAAUAUUGCACAAUGGGGGAAACCCUGAUGCAGCGACGCCGCGUGAGCGAAGAAGUAUUUCGGUAUGUAAAGCUCUAUCAGCAGGGAAGAAGAAUGACGGUACCUGACUAAGAAGCACCGGCUAAAUACGUGCCAGCAGCCGCGGUAAUACGUAUGGUGCAAGCGUUAUCCGGGUUUACUGGGUGUAAAGGGAGCGCAGGCGGUGCGGCAAGUCUGAUGUGAAAGCCCGGGGCUCAACCCCGGUACUGCAUUGGAAACUGUCGUACUAGAGUGUCGGAGGGGUAAGUGGAAUUCCUAGUGUAGCGGUGAAAUGCGUAGAUAUUAGGAGGAACACCAGUGGCGAAGGCGGCUUAC